Molecule: ribosomal RNA, 940 nt
Filed under: uncultured bacterium
Lineage: Bacteria
Description: bacterial SSU rRNA
Rfam family: Bacterial small subunit ribosomal RNA
Source: RNAcentral
GGCUCAGGAUGAACGCUGGCGGCGUGCCUUAAGCAUGCAAGUCGAACGGAGAUUGUGUCUAGCACAAAGUUAAUUAUCUCUUGUUCCCUUGGUAUGCGGCACUUUUUGUCAGUUAAUGACUAAUUUUUGGCGUAUAUCAAGUGGAGCAAUGAUUCUAAUUAAUUUCGUGCUAGGCAUGAAAUCAGUGGCGGACGGGUGAGUAUAAGCAAGGAACGUACCCUUUAUUGUGACAUAGCUCGUCGAAAGACGGGGUAAUAUCGCAUGACCCUUUACGGGGAAAGAGGUUAACCCCUCGAUAAUGGAGCGGCCUUGUUCCUAUCAGCUAGUUGGUGGGGUAAUAGCCUACCAAGGCUUUGACGGGUAGGGGGUGUGAGAGCAUGACCCCCCACAAUGGCACUGAGAAACGGGCCAUACAUCUACGGAUGGCAGCAACUGGGAAUCGUUGGCAAUGGGCGAAAGCCUGACCACGCGACGCCGCGUGAGGGAUGAAGUAUUUCGGUAUGUAAACCUCUUUUACGGGACUAUCAUGGUUCCGAGAAUAAGCACCUACAAACUACGUGCCAGCAGUCGCGGUAAUACGUAGGGUGCAAGCGUUAUCCGGAUUUACUGGGCGUAAAGGGUCGUGUAGGUGGUUUUCCGCAUCGAACCUGAAAGCCCGAGGCUUAACCUCGGCGUUGGGUUCGAGAUGGGGAGACUUGAGGAUUGCAGAGGUAAGGGGAACUCAUGGUGGAGCAGUGAAAUGCGUUGAUAUCAUGAGGAACACCAAAGGCGAAGGCACCUUACUGGGCAAUAUCUGACACUCAGACACGAAAGCUAGGGGAGCGAAGCAGAUUAGAUACCUGCGUAGUCCUAGCCCUAAACGCAUGUCUGCUAGAUGGUCUAUCGUAAGACGGACUGUCGUAAGCUAACGCGUUAAGCAGACCGCCUGGGGAGUACGAUC